UACGUAGGGUGCAAGCGUUAAUCGGAAUUACUGGGCGUAAAGGGAGCGUAGGCGGGCGCGGUAAGUCAGAUGUGAAAUCCCGGGGCUCAACCCCGGAACUGCAUCCGAUACUGCCGUGCUAGAGGAUUGGAGAGGUAGCUGGAAUUCUUGGUGUAGCGGUGAAAUGCGUAGAUAUCAAGAGGAACACCUGAGGUGAAGACGGGUUGCUGGGCUGACACUGACGCUGAGGCGCGAAAGCCAGGGGAGCAAACGGG
RNAcentral lists this ribosomal RNA (254 nucleotides) under uncultured bacterium. Its description in RNAcentral is "partial 16S ribosomal RNA". It matches the Rfam family "Bacterial small subunit ribosomal RNA", at positions 524 to 776 of the family's 1533-position model. The record is from RNAcentral.